Molecule: ribosomal RNA, 630 nt
Filed under: Curtobacterium sp. Ri3Ps_5319
Lineage: Bacteria; Bacillati; Actinomycetota; Actinomycetes; Micrococcales; Microbacteriaceae
Description: bacterial SSU rRNA
Rfam family: Bacterial small subunit ribosomal RNA
Source: RNAcentral
UGCAGCAACGCCGCGUGAGGUGAUUGACGGCCUUCUCGGGUUGUAAACCUCUUUUAGUAGGGAAGAAGCGAAAGUGACGGUACCUGCAGAAAAAGCACCGGCUAACUACGUGCCAGCAGCCGCGGUAAUACGUAGGGUGCAAGCGUUGUCCGGAAUUAUUGGGCGUAAAGAGCUCGUAGGCGGUUUGUCGCGUCUGCUGUGAAAUCCCGAGGCUCAACCUCGGGCUUGCAGUGGGUACGGGCAGACUAGAGUGCGGUAGGGGAGAUUGGAAUUCCUGGUGUAGCGGUGGAAUGCGCAGAUAUCAGGAGGAACACCGAUGGCGAAGGCAGAUCUCUGGGCCGUAACUGACGCUGAGGAGCGAAAGCAUGGGGAGCGAACAGGAUUAGAUACCCUGGUAGUCCAUGCCGUAAACGUUGGGCGCUAGAUGUAGGGACCUUUCCACGGUUUCUGUGUCGUAGCUAACGCAUUAAGCGCCCCGCCUGGGGAGUACGGCCGCAAGGCUAAAACUCAAAGGAAUUGACGGGGGCCCGCACAAGCGGCGGAGCAUGCGGAUUAAUUCGAUGCAACGCGAAGAACCUUACCAAGGCUUGACAUACACCGGAAACGGCCAGAGAUGGUCGCCCCCUUGUG